RNAcentral lists this ribosomal RNA (431 nucleotides) under uncultured Alphaproteobacteria bacterium. RNAcentral describes it as "bacterial SSU rRNA". It matches the Rfam family "Bacterial small subunit ribosomal RNA", at positions 28 to 505 of the family's 1533-position model. The record is from RNAcentral. Lineage: Bacteria; Pseudomonadati; Pseudomonadota; Alphaproteobacteria.
GACGAACGCUGGCGGCAGGCUUAACACAUGCAAGUCGAACGAACUCUUCGGAGUGAGUGGCAGACGGGUGCGUAACACGUGGGAACCUACCUUAAGGUACGGAACAACACCGAGAAAUUGGUGCUAAUACCGUAUGUGCCCUUCGGGGGAAAGAUUUAUCGCCUUAAGAUGGGCCCGCGGCAGAUUAGAUAGUUGGUGGGGUAAUGGCUUACCAAGUCUACGAUCUGUAGCUGGUCUGAGAGGAUGACCAGCCACACUGGAACUGAGACACGGUCCAGACUCCUACGGGAGGCAGCAGUGGGGAAUAUUGGGCAAUGGGCGAAAGCCUGACCCAGCCAUGCCGCGUGAGUGAUGAAGGCCUUAGGGUUGUAAAACUCUUUCGCCGGUGAAGAUAAUGACGGUAACCGGUAAAGAAGCCCCGGCUAAUUUCG